Molecule: long non-coding RNA, 719 nt
Filed under: Homo sapiens (human)
Lineage: Eukaryota; Metazoa; Chordata; Mammalia; Primates; Hominidae
Description: non-protein coding lnc-DEPP1-2:9
Source: RNAcentral
UGGGGGAGUCAGAACUGAAGAAUUUGGAAGUGCUCAAAUUUUUAAAUAACCAGAUCGAGGAGCUGCCAACACAGAUCAGCAGGCUUCAAAAACUCAAACACCUGAACCUUGGCCACCCUGUGUGCACUCUAUCUAAGUGACAACGGUUUUGAAAUCCUGCCACCAGAUAUUGGGAAGCUCACAAAGUUGCAGAUAGUAACUCAGCAAUAGGGAUAAAGACCUGAUCUCACUGCUUAAGGAAAUUGGGGAGCUUACCCAGCUUAAAGAGCUCCACAUUCAGAGGAACCGCCUCACUGUUCUACGCCCAGAACUAGGAGAAAAAAAGAACGAUAGAGAAGUCCAGAUAAAGUGCAGGAAUCUGACACCCUCUUGUGCUGAACAAUGGGUCAACCAUACCAAGUCAGUCAAGUCGAAAGCUGUCGGGGGAGGUGUUUGUCUUCUGAGAGAAUCCUCCCCAUGAAAUCUCCCACAAUGCCUGUCACUGGUACCUAAAAUUACACCAUUAGAGAUUCAGUCUUCUGGUUCUGGAGGCAUUUUAAUCCCUGGGGGUCCUAUUAAAAUGCAAAAACUCCGAGAAGAAUAAUAGCAUUGAAAGCUAUUAUUAACUGACAGCAAGGAGGCCCUUGGGAAUUGGACACGGGAUAGAGCCUGAGGAACAACUCCAGGAAAUUGGGGUACAAGCAGAGGGAAGGUAAGAUGGCAGCAAAAAUAAACUUUAU